AACGAACGCUGGCGGCAUGCCUAACACACGCAAGUCGAACGAGACCUUCGGGUCUAGUGGCGCACGGGUGCGUAACGCGUGGGAGUCUGCCCUUGGGUCCGGAAUAACUCAGAGAAAUUUGAGCUAAUACCGGAUGAUGACGUAAGUCCAAAGAUUUAUCGCCCAGGGAUGAGCCCGCGUAGGAUUAGCUAGUUGGUGAGGUAAAGGCUCACCAAGGCGACGAUCCUUAGCUGGCUGAGAGGAUGAUCAGCCACACUGGGACUGAGACACGGCCCAGACUCCUACGGGAGGCAGCAGGUGGGGAAUAUUGGACAAUGGGCGAAAGCCUGAUCCAGCAAUGCCGCGUGAGUGAU
This 353-nucleotide ribosomal RNA is filed under the name uncultured bacterium. Its description in RNAcentral is "bacterial SSU rRNA". It matches the Rfam family "Bacterial small subunit ribosomal RNA", at positions 29 to 409 of the family's 1533-position model. The record is from RNAcentral.